This is a long non-coding RNA of Mus musculus (house mouse), 531 nucleotides long. RefSeq annotates it as predicted gene, 33109. The transcript is spliced from 3 exons. NCBI's taxonomy places the organism in Eukaryota, Metazoa, Chordata, Mammalia, Rodentia, Muridae. The record is from RefSeq and is a predicted model, not a curated record.
AUGUUUCUUUUUCUGUGCUUACCCUUUCUUUCUGCUGUGAAUGAGUGAGAAGACUGGGAUGAGGUUAUAGAACAUGGUCACAAAAAUCUUUCUCCUAAUGCUUUUUAGAGUGGGCUAUGCUACAAAGCUAACUUUUUUCUUCUUCUUCUUUAGAGAGUCGUCCUUCCUUACGACUCAGGAAUAAAUUUGGCGUGACUGAACCACCACCAGAUGAAAUUAUUAUUGUGCCACCACCAAUUUAUGUAAUUAUAAAAUCUCCAUUCUCCUAUUGAUCAUUUGUAACUUUUAGGACAGCCACAGCUAAGGAACCAUACCAUUAUGAUACUCCUGUGGGCUGCCUACAUUCUACAAGCACAGCUCUCUGAUACCCCACCACCACCACCACUAACUGAAUUUUGACCUGUUCUUCAAUGCACAUCCCCAACAUGCUUAUAAAAGUGAUGGCAACUAUCAUUUCAUUCAUUUAUAAAUUUUGUUUCUCAUUAUCAGAAAUAAUAUUAUGAUAAACUGUAUUUUAUCAACAUAGACCAU